AGGAAUUGACGGGGACCCGCACAAGCGGUGGAUGAUGUGGUUUAAUUCGAUGCAACGCGAAAAACCUUACCCACCUUUGACAUGUACGGAAUUUGCCAGAGAUGGCUUAGUGCUCGAAAGAGAACCGUAACACAGGUGCUGCAUGGCUGUCGUCAGCUCGUGUCGUGAGAUGUUGGGUUAAGUCCCGCAACGAGCGCAACCCUUGUCAUUAGUUGCUACAUUCAGUUGGGCACUCUAAUGAGACUGCCGGUGACAAACCGGAGGAAGGUGGGGAUGACGUCAAGUCCUCAUGGCCCUUAUAGGUGGGGCUACACACGUCAUACAAUGGCUGGUACAAAGGGUUGCCAACCCGCGAGGGGGAGCUAAUCCCAUAAAACCAGUCGUAGUCCGGAUCGCAGUCUGCAACUCGACUGCGUGAAGUCGGAAUCGCUAGUAAUCGUGGAUCAGAAUGUCACGGUGAAUACGUUCCCGGGUCUUGUACACACCGCCCGUCACACCAUGGGAGCGGGUUCUGCCAGAAGUAGUUAGCCUAACCGCAAGGAGGGCGAUUACCACGGCAGGGUUCGUGACUGGGGUGAAGUCGUAACAAGGUAAC
This 595-nucleotide ribosomal RNA is filed under the name uncultured beta proteobacterium. RNAcentral describes it as "bacterial SSU rRNA". It matches the Rfam family "Bacterial small subunit ribosomal RNA", at positions 905 to 1500 of the family's 1533-position model. Lineage: Bacteria; Pseudomonadati; Pseudomonadota; Betaproteobacteria. The record is from RNAcentral.